RNAcentral lists this ribosomal RNA (253 nucleotides) under uncultured bacterium. RNAcentral's name for it is "partial 16S ribosomal RNA". It matches the Rfam family "Bacterial small subunit ribosomal RNA", at positions 524 to 776 of the family's 1533-position model. The record is from RNAcentral.
UACGUAGGGUGCGAGCGUUAAUCGGAAUUACUGGGCGUAAAGCGUGCGCAGGCGGUUCGUUGUGUCGGCGGUGAAAGCCCCGGGCUCAACCUGGGAAUGGCCGUUGAAACUGGCGAACUGGAGUGUGGCAGAGGGGGGUGGAAUUCCGCGUGUAGCAGUGAAAUGCGUAGAGAUGCGGAGGAACACCGUUGGCGAAGGCAGCCCCCUGGGCUAACACUGACGCUCAGGCACGAAAGCGUGGGGAGCAAACAGG